This 429-nucleotide ribosomal RNA is filed under the name Gemmatimonadota bacterium. RNAcentral's name for it is "Gemmatimonadetes bacterium partial 16S ribosomal RNA". It matches the Rfam family "Bacterial small subunit ribosomal RNA", at positions 355 to 776 of the family's 1533-position model. Lineage: Bacteria; Pseudomonadati; Gemmatimonadota. The record is from RNAcentral.
UAGGGAAUCUUCGGCAAUGGACGAAAGUCUGACCGAGCAACGCCGCGUGAGUGAAGAAGGUUUUCGGAUCGUAAAACUCUGUUGUUAGAGAAGAACAAGGACGUUAGUAACUGAACGUCCCCUGACGGUAUCUAACCAGAAAGCCACGGCUAACUACGUGCCAGCAGCCGCGGUAAUACGUAGGUGGCAAGCGUUGUCCGGAUUUAUUGGGCGUAAAGCGAGCGCAGGCGGUUUCUUAAGUCUGAUGUGAAAGCCCCCGGCUAAACCGGGGAGGGUCAUUGGAAACUGGGAGACUGGAGUGCAGAAGAGGAGAGUGGAAUUCCAUGUGUAGCGGUGAAAUGCGUAGAUAUAUGGGGGAACACCAGUGGCGAAGGCGGCUCUCUGGUCUGUAACUGACGCUGAGGCUCGAAAGCGUGGGGAGCAAACAGG